Molecule: ribosomal RNA, 301 nt
Filed under: uncultured bacterium
Lineage: Bacteria
Description: partial 16S ribosomal RNA
Rfam family: Bacterial small subunit ribosomal RNA
Source: RNAcentral
CAGCAGCCGCGGUAAUACGGAGGGAGCUAGCGUUGUUCGGAAUUACUGGGCGUAAAGCGCGCGUAGGCGGUUACUCAAGUCAGAGGUGAAAGCCCGGGGCUCAACCCCGGAACUGCCUUUGAGACUAGGCAACUAGAAUCUUGGAGAGGUCAGUGGAAUUCCGAGUGUAGAGGUGAAAUUCGUAGAUAUUCGGAAGAACACCAGUGGCGAAGGCGACUGACUGGACAAGUAUUGACGCUGAGGUGCGAAAGCGUGGGGAGCAAACAGGAUUAGAUACCCGGGUAGUCCCUGUCUCUUAUAA